AGGCUUAACACAUGCAAGUCGAGGGGCAGCAUGGUCUUAGCUUGCUAAGGCCGAUGGCGACCGGCGCACGGGUGAGUAACACGUAUCCAACCUGCCGUCUACUCUUGGACAGCCUUCUGAAAGGAAGAUUAAUACAAGAUGGCAUCAUGAGUCCGCAUGUUCACAUGAUUAAAGGUAUUCCGGUAGACGAUGGGGAUGCGUUCCAUUAGAUAGUAGGCGGGGUAACGGCCCACCUAGUCUUCGAUGGAUAGGGGUUCUGAGAGGAAGGUCCCCCACAUUGGAACUGAGACACGGUCCAAACUCCUACGGGAGGCAGCAGUGAGGAAUAUUGGUCAAUGGGCGAGAGCCUGAACCAGCCAAGUAGCGUGAAGGAUGACUGCCCUAUGGGUUGUAAACUUCUUUUAUAAAGGAAUAAAGUCGGGUAUGGAUACCCGUUUGCAUGUACUUUAUGAAUAAGGAUCGGCUAACUCCGUGCCAGCAGCCGCGGUAAUACGGAGGAUCCGAGCGUUAUCCGGAUUUAUUGGGUUUAAAGGGAGCGUAGAUGGAUGUUUAAGUCAGUUGUGAAAGUUUGCGGCUCAACCGUAAAAUUGCAGUUGAUACUGGAUAUCUUGAGUGCAGUUGAGGCAGGCGGAAUUCGUGGUGUAGCGGUGAAAUGCUUAGAUAUCACGAAGAACUCCGAUUGCGAAGGCAGCCUGCUAAGCUGCAACUGACAUUGAGGCUCGAAAGUGUGGGUAUCAAACAGGAUUAGAUACCCUGGUAGUCCACACGGUAAACGAUGAAUACUCGCUGUUUGCGAUAUACUGCAAGCGGCCAAGCGAAAGCGUUAAGUAUUCCACCUGGGGAGUACGCCGGCAACGGUGAAACUCAAAGGAAUUGACGGGGGCCCGCACAAGCGGAGGAACAUGUGGUUUAAUUCGAUGAUACGCGAGGAACCUUACCCGGGCUUAAAUUGCAGAUGAAUUACGGUGAAAGCCGUAAGCCGCAAGGCAUCUGUGAAGGUGCUGCAUGGUUGUCGUCAGCUCGUGCCGUGAGGUGUCGGCUUAAGUGCCAUAACGAGCGCAACCCUUGUUGUCAGUUACUAACAGGUUCCGCUGAGGACUCUGACAAGACUGCCAUCGUAAGAUGUGAGGAAGGUGGGGAUGACGUCAAAUCAGCACGGCCCUUACGUCCGGGGCUACACACGUGUUACAAUGGGGGGUACAGAGGGCCGCUACCACGCGAGUGGAUGCCAAUCCCCAAAACCUCUCUCAGUUCGGACUGGAGUCUGCAACCCGACUCCACGAAGCUGGAUUCGCUAGUAAUCGCGCAUCAGCCACGGCGCGGUGAAUACGUUCCCGGGCCUUGUACACACCGCCCGUCAAGCCAUGGGAGCCGGGGGUACCUGAAGUGCGUAACCGCGAGGAGCGCCCUAGGGUAAAACUGGUGACUGGGACUAAGUCAUA
Molecule: ribosomal RNA, 1442 nt
Filed under: uncultured bacterium
Lineage: Bacteria
Description: bacterial SSU rRNA
Rfam family: Bacterial small subunit ribosomal RNA
Source: RNAcentral